AGAGUUUGAUCAUGGCUCAGAUUGAACGCUGGCGGCAUGCCUUACACAUGCAAGUCGAACGGCAGUAUGAUCUAGCUUGCUAGAUUGAUGGCGAGUGGCGAACGGGUGAGUAAUACAUCGGAACGUGCCCUGUAGUGGGGGAUAACUAGUCGAAAGAUUAGCUAAUACCGCAUACGACCUGAGGGUGAAAGUGGGGGACCGCAAGGCCUCAUGCUAUAGGAGCGGCCGAUGUCUGAUUAGCUAGUUGGUGAGGUAAAGGCUCACCAAGGCGACGAUCAGUAGCUGGUCUGAGAGGACGAUCAGCCACACUGGGACUGAGACACGGCCCAGACUCCUACGGGAGGCAGCAGUGGGGAAUUUUGGACAAUGGGCGAAAGCCUGAUCCAGCAAUGGCCGCGUGUGUGAAGAAGGCCUUCGGGUUGUAAAGCACUUUUGUCCGGAAAGAAAUGGCUCUGGUUAAUACCUGGGGUCGAUGACGGUACCGGAAGAAUAAGGACCGGCUAACUACGUGCCAGCAGCCGCGGUAAUACGUAGGGUCCAAGCGUUAAUCGGAAUUACUGGGCGUAAAGCGUGCGCAGGCGGUUGUGCAAGACCGAUGUGAAAUCCCCGAGCUUAACUUGGGAAUUGCAUUGGUGACUGCACGGCUAGAGUGUGUCAGAGGGGGGUAGAAUUCCACGUGUAGCAGUGAAAUGCGUAGAGAUGUGGAGGAAUACCGAUGGCGAAGGCAGCCCCCUGGGAUAACACUGACGCUCAUGCACGAAAGC
Molecule: ribosomal RNA, 764 nt
Filed under: uncultured bacterium
Lineage: Bacteria
Description: bacterial SSU rRNA
Rfam family: Bacterial small subunit ribosomal RNA
Source: RNAcentral